This 406-nucleotide ribosomal RNA is filed under the name uncultured bacterium. RNAcentral's name for it is "partial 16S ribosomal RNA". It matches the Rfam family "Bacterial small subunit ribosomal RNA", at positions 30 to 526 of the family's 1533-position model. The record is from RNAcentral.
AUUGAACGCUGGCGGCAGGCCUAACACAUGCAAGUCGAGCGAGCGGCGGACGGGUGAGUAAUGUAUGGGGAUCUGCCCGAUAGAGGGGGAUAACUACUGGAAACGGUGGCUAAUACCGCAUACCAUCGGAUGUGCCCAGAUGGGAUUGGCUAGUAGGUGGGGUAACGGCUCACCUAGGCGACGAUCCCUGGCUGGUCUGAGGGGAUGACCAGCCACACUGGAACAGAGACACGGUCCAGACUCCUACGGGAGGCAGCAGGGGGGAAUAUUGCACAAUGGGCGCAAGCCUGAUGCAGCCAUGCCGCGUGAAUGAAGAAGGCCUUCGGGUUGUAAAGUUCUUUCGGUAGCGAGGCGUUAACUACAGAAGAAGCACCGGCUAACUCCGUGCCAGCAGCCGCGGUAAUUC